AUUUCUCUCUCUGCCAUUUCGUUACCUACUCUCUUUCUCUCCACCACCACUGCUACCUACUGCACUCCUCCUCCUCGCUUUUCCUAUACCCCUUCCAUCCCCCCACAAUACCCAUUCCACCGUAUUCACAAAUGGCCGCUUCUCCGCAUGCUGCUAUGAAGAAGGCAGCGAAGAAGGCCGGCUCGAAGAAAGCGAUGCCCAAGGCCUCUGCGCCGAAGAAGUCUAAGAAGGCUGCACCGAAGAAGAAGUCGAAGAGCUCCAGCUCGACGAAGCGCGGCACGAAGAGGGCCGCUGCGAAGAAGUAGAAUGCAAAUGCUGAGGCCGACACACAUCGCUGUUAGAGAUCGUUCCAGCGUUUUUUUUUUGUGGUUGGCUGCGGUCGCCUCUCCUCCAACCCCGUGUCGCUCACGCGUAUGGGCAAGAUAGGCAAUGGCUUCUGCGCACACAAUCAUCAUACGCAUACGCUUGGAACGCUGACGUGUUUCAUUCCGCCUUCUGUGUUGGUGCACUCCCCUCCUGCAUCUUCUCGCUCCAUUUUUUUUGUUGUUUGUUUUCUUCGUUUUUCUCCCCGUCAAAUUCAUAGAGAUUUGUUUAUCUGCCCUCCAUCUCUCCUCCCUUCUCCAUCUCCAUGAUUUUAUGUCAUGUCGGUUUCUUUGAUUGGUUUCCUCGUCCUUCGCUUACGGUGUACGUUUUUGCCUGACCAGAAGUCAUUUGUGUACCACUUCUCUGUUCUUGUACAUGGGGCAUGUUUCUCUCUCUCUCCUGUUUUCGUUUUUCUUUUCCUUCUCACCCACCUAUCCCCCUCCCUUACCUUGUCUCGGUUAAGGAAGGCGUGUGCGUGUGUGUGUUUAGAUUGCGGCUCAUGUUGCUCCAUCGCGCGCUUUUCUUCUCCAGGUUUCGUUGCCUACCUGCUCUCAGCGUGUAUAUGUACGUCUAGGCUUAUGUAUGCAUGUGUGCGUGUGUGUGUCUUUCCCCUUCCCCCCCCCCCCCAACACACACAGACACCCACAUACAUACAUGCUCGGACAAGUGUUGAGGCACAAGCAGACGAGGCAGAGAGGCGGGAAAGGGAAGAAGGAAAAGAAAACAGGAUGAGAACAAAAAAAAAGAUAUAUAAAAAAAGAAAGGAGACAGAGGAGGAUAGCGACUAGAGACCCAUAUCGAGCACAAACACCACAUUUUCGAACUUGCCAGUGUCGUUCCUCUCCCCUCGCGUCUACCUUCCGCACACACGCCCUCUCCUCCUCUUCCUCCUCCCCCCUUCCACUGCCCUGUCUUCUCCAUCCUUUCAAUCUUGCGUGGGCCUUGCUCUUUUCUUUUUGUUCUCUUUUUGCUUUUUCCCCGAGUGCCCUCCUCUUCCCCCCUCGCUUCCCUCAUGUGGUUGGCUCCUCUCCGCCUUGCCUUUCAGAAUAGAAGUCUCCCUGGUUGUGCUCGCGUGUCGUGAGCGGACGCAGGUAGGAAAAGAGAGGAAAAAAAACAUGCGUUGGAGAGAGGUGCGAGAUGCAGAAGAAAGAGCACGAAGCGGCGCGAGGAAGGGAGAGAACGAAGAUGACGACAGGCGUACGGGCAGAGUGUGUACUUGUAGGACUGCCGUUUUUCUUUUUGUAUUAUGUUCCCCAUUUAUAUUUUCUCCAUCAUCUCUUGUGAGAAUGCCCACGAAUUGUUCUCUUGUAUCCUUGCGAUCGUCUUUGGCGACUCUUGUCCUACGCCUUGUCAUCGGUCCUUCUCCCUAGUGCAACGUGAGCCCGCGUAAAUGGCUGAAUAGCUGCAUUCCAUGUGUGUGUGUGUGUGUCCCUACGUAGGAUUGCAGCUCGGGCCGUUGCCUCGCUCCGGCUGUGAAGACGCUAGCGAAGACAAGCGAAAGACAAACGUGCGAAAACUGCGAAACCAGAAAUGAUCAUGGGAAAGAAAAAAGGAACAAAAAAAAAGAUGCGGCACAGAGGCUUGUGCACCUCUGCGUGUGUGUGCGAGUACGCGUUCUCAUCCAUCGACGUGCGCACGUGCACAUCUGGUGCCCAAGACGGCUCUUGUCCAUAAGUAGCAGCGUCCGUCGUGUGUCACAAAGGCAGUCUUGUGCGCCUUCUGCAUCUUGAAGAGGGCGCGGUCCCUUAAUAGGGGGAUGCACAAGGACGUCAGGAGAGUUGAUAUCGCUUGUAGCCAUGCGCGCCCCUCUUCUGGCGUAAGGGGCUUUGUACGCGUUCCUGCUUGCGCUUACACGCCUUCACUCACACGAGGCUGUGCGCUCGAGCGUCAUGUAGCAACGGCGUGCGACCCUCUCCCACACAUGUACACUCGGCAAGUGUCGCAUGCAUGUGCGUGUGGGGGGGUUUCGGCAGCCUCAUGCUGUACACGUCAUCAUCGCCCCCACUCCGCAUGGCCGACCUCUCUUAGCUUUCAUCUUUCUCUUCCUUCUCGACGUGCCUGCUGGACGUCGUUGUCUCUCCCUUACUCGGCAUCCUAUCCUUUUGUACGGAUGCGCUUUCUCGUUUUUCGCGGUGUCCCUUUUCGCUUGCUCCCCCCUAAG
RNAcentral lists this unclassified non-coding RNA (2524 nucleotides) under Leishmania donovani. Its description in RNAcentral is "gene:LdHU3.27.2310(CDS-product:hypothetical_prote in)". Lineage: Eukaryota; Euglenozoa; Kinetoplastea; Trypanosomatida; Trypanosomatidae. The record is from RNAcentral.